CCUAGGGUGGCUGCAGUGGGGAAUAUUGGACAAUGGGCGAAAGCCUGAUCCAGCCAUGCCGCGUGUGUGAAGAAGGCCUUCGGGUUGUAAAGCACUUUCAGUGGGGAAGAAAGCCUUGGGGCUAAUACCCUCGAGGAAGGACAUCACCCACAGAAGAAGCACCGGCUAACUCCGUGCCAGCAGCCGCGGUAAUACGGAGGGUGCGAGCGUUAAUCGGAAUUACUGGGCGUAAAGCGCGCGUAGGCGGUCUGAUAAGCCGGUUGUGAAAGCCCCGGGCUCAACCUGGGAACGGCAUCCGGAACUGUCAGGCUAGAGUGCAGGAGAGGAAGGUAGAAUUCCCGGUGUAGCGGUGAAAUGCGUAGAGAUCGGGAGGAAUACCAGUGGCGAAGGCGGCCUUCUGGACUGACACUGACGCUGAGGUGCGAAAGCGUGGGUAGCAAACAGGAUUAGAUACCCCUGUAGUC
RNAcentral lists this ribosomal RNA (464 nucleotides) under Vreelandella stevensii. RNAcentral's name for it is "partial 16S ribosomal RNA". It matches the Rfam family "Bacterial small subunit ribosomal RNA", at positions 338 to 795 of the family's 1533-position model. Lineage: Bacteria; Pseudomonadati; Pseudomonadota; Gammaproteobacteria; Oceanospirillales; Halomonadaceae. The record is from RNAcentral.